Molecule: ribosomal RNA, 415 nt
Filed under: uncultured bacterium
Lineage: Bacteria
Description: bacterial SSU rRNA
Rfam family: Bacterial small subunit ribosomal RNA
Source: RNAcentral
GGACGCUUACGAGGGUUUCGGCCCUUGUGGGAGUGGCGCACGGGUGAGUAGCGCGUGGGAACCUGCCCCUUUGUGGGGGAUAACCGAGGGAAACUUCGGCUAAUACCGCAUGCGCCCGGAGUGAUCCGGGGAAAGAUUUAUCGCAGAGGGAGGGGCCCGCGUCGGAUUAGCUGGUUGGUGGGGUAACGGCCUACCAAGGCGAUGAUCCGUAGCUGGUCUGAGAGGAUGAUCAGCCACACUGGGACUGAGACACGGCCCAGACUCCUACGGGAGGCAGCAGUAGGGAAUAUUGGACAAUGGGGGCAACCCUGAUCCAGCAAUGCCGCGUGAGUGAUGAAGGCCUUAGGGUUGUAAAGCUCUUUCGCACGCGACGAUGAUGACGGUAGCGUGAGAAGAAGCCCCGGCUAACUUCGUG